GAUGAACGCUAGCGGCAGGCUUAAUACAUGCAAGUCGUGGGGCAGCGCAGGUAGCAAUACUGGGCGGCGACCGGCAAACGGGUGCGGAACACGUACACAACCUUCCGAGAAGUGGGGAAUAGCCCAGAGAAAUUUGGAUUAAUACCCCGUAACAUAACGAUGUGGCAUCACAUUGUUAUUAUAGCUUCGGCGCUUCUUGAUGGGUGUGCGGCUGAUUAGAUAGUUGGCGGGGUAACGGCCCACCAAGUCUACGAUCAGUAGCUGAUGUGAGAGCAUGAUCAGCCACACGGGCACUGAGACACGGGCCCGACUCCUACGGGAGGCAGCAGUAAGGAAUAUUGGUCAAUGGAUGCAAGUCUGAACCAGCCAUGCCGCGUGCAGGAGAAGGCCUUCUGGUUGUAACUGCUUUGCCAGGGAUAAAUUUCCAUGCGUGGAAAACUGAAGGUACCUGGUGAAUAAGCCACGGCUAACUACGU
Molecule: ribosomal RNA, 476 nt
Filed under: uncultured bacterium
Lineage: Bacteria
Description: bacterial SSU rRNA
Rfam family: Bacterial small subunit ribosomal RNA
Source: RNAcentral